Mytilus trossulus (common blue mussel) is the source of this 461-nucleotide long non-coding RNA. RefSeq lists it as uncharacterized. Lineage: Eukaryota; Metazoa; Mollusca; Bivalvia; Mytilida; Mytilidae. The record is from RefSeq and is a predicted model, not a curated record. The transcript has 5 exons.
UAAGCAUUGAUCGACACAACUGUUUCUUCUUCACACAAGAUGCUAUUUCAUUUACUUUUAGAUAUUUUUUCUGUUUACCUACAUUGAGAACAAAAAUGAGAUAUGUCUGUGCAUUCCUUCUAAUCAUACCUAUUGUUUUAACCUCACCUUCAAAGCGAUUUCUCAUUGAUGCAUUUGGCGAUGGUAUAGCGAUAGAAAAGAUAUCAGAGUGGGCUGCAUGUAAUCCAGAUAUGACUAAUGAUACAUGUAAUGCUGUUUGCCCGAAAAUAAUUCGAUGGAGUUUUUACUGCGGAUUGGCUUGCUCUAAUGUCCUAAAAAGGAUUGACACUGGAAGUUUUAAUAGAAACUGUACAACUAUUUAAUGAAAUGUUAAUAAAGAUUUUAAUCAAGCUGAACACUAUCUCAUUUUUUAUAAUUAUGUUCAGAUAAUCACUUACACGUGUAUGUUUUAUGUAUACUCU